This 489-nucleotide ribosomal RNA is filed under the name Triticum aestivum (bread wheat). Its description in RNAcentral is "partial small subunit ribosomal RNA". Lineage: Eukaryota; Viridiplantae; Streptophyta; Magnoliopsida; Poales; Poaceae. The record is from RNAcentral.
AUGCCUCCCUGUGACCAGAUAAAAAACAAAGGCGAAGUGCGUAAUCCUCGCUCAGAUCCAGGCCCCUGCGUGUGGUUCCUCCCGCACCCGGGCGAGGUGGCUGUCGUGGAGCGCCGGGUGGCGGGCGGAGAUGCUCCUCACGGGCUGGCGCCUGGAUCCGCGCCAUCGAGCUGUGCCGGAGCUUCUCCGACGAUCUUUGGCAGCGACCAUGGCGGGCGUAGCAGAGCGAAGGGUGCCGGCAGCCCGGUGUCAGUGCGCGCAGGGGAAGAUUCACUUCACAGCCGGCGUCCGGAUCCGCGCCAUCGAGCUGUGCCGGAGGUUCUCAGGGUGGUGGCGCGCUGCCCAGGGAGCACGACCAUGGGCGAAUCCAAGGGAGCACGAGAUAACCCCUGCUGCUUUCGCUUCCAAGAGUCCCAUCCUCCCACAAGAGCUUCGUGGCCACAACUUGCAGGCGUCUUUUGCUUCUUCUUCCUUUGGAUCCCUAGCUAA